RNAcentral lists this ribosomal RNA (496 nucleotides) under uncultured bacterium. Its description in RNAcentral is "partial 16S ribosomal RNA". It matches the Rfam family "Bacterial small subunit ribosomal RNA", at positions 30 to 523 of the family's 1533-position model. The record is from RNAcentral.
AUUGAACGCUGGCGGAAUGCUUUACACAUGCAAGUCGAACGGUAGAGGGGGCAACCCCUCGAGAGUGGCGAACGGGUGAGUAAUAUAUUGGAACGUGCCCAGUCGUGGGGGAUAACGUAGAGAAAGUUACGCUAAUACCGCAUACGAUCUAAGGAUGAAAGCGGGGGAUCGCAAGACCUCACGCGAUUGGAGCGGCCGAUAUCAGCUUUGGUAGUUGGUGGGGUAAAGGCUCACCAAGCCAUCGAUCUGUAGCUGGUCUGAGAGGACGACCAGCGCCACGGGGACGGAGACACGGUCCAGACUGCUACGGAGGGGGGGAGUGGGGAAUGUUGGACAAUGGACGCGAGUCUGAUCCGGCCAUUCCGCGUGCAGGAUGAAGGCCCGCGGGUUGUGAACUGCUUUUGUACGGAACGAAAAGGUCUCUCUUAAUACGGGGGACUCAUGACGGUACCGUAAGAAUAAGCACCGGCUAACUACGUGCCAGCAGCCGCAGUAA